AGAGUUUUGGUCCGAUGCGGUAAAUUGCUAAACGCAGUUUCGGUUGUGGAUUAGUAUAAUCUCAAUGGUUAGAUUAAAUUAGUGGUCUCGAUCGUGAGGCUGUAAUUCGCCCGUGGAUCUUGGGUUGGGUAAGGUGUUUAAUAGUAGUAGAGAUAAGUAAGGUGUUUCUUUUCUUCAACUUACCCUGAACAGCGGAACUGUUCGAGUUGUUUCAAGCUGCGGCCAAAAAGAACUCCAGCCGGUAAGAGGUGGCCCUAACCCAGUCUGACCUUAUAGAAGCUUCAGCCGCUUCUUUGCCCCUCCUGCUACCCAAGCUCCAAACCCUAGCUUCCUAGCCUACGCGUCCCCGAGCGAGCAUGGAUCGGAUCGUCGGUAGCAAGUACAAGCUGGGCCGCAAGAUCGGGAGCGGCUCCUUCGGGGAGAUAUAUCUCGCCACGCACGUCGACACGUACGAGAUUGUAGCCGUGAAGAUCGAAAACAGCAAAACCAACCAUCCCCAAUUGUUAUACGAGGCCAAACUGUAUAAUGCUCUUCAGGGAGGGACUGGUAUUGCAAACAUAAAAUGGUGUGGCAUUGAUGGCGAAGAAAAUGUUCUUGUUAUUGAUUUGCUUGGGCCAAGCCUUGAGGAUCUGUUUGUUUAUUGUGGCCGGAGAUUCUCACUGAAGACAGUUUUGAUGUUGGCAGAUCAGAUGAUAACAAGAAUAGAGUUUUUGCAUUCUAAGGGGUACUUGCACAGGGACAUCAAGCCCGACAACUUUCUUAUGGGCCUUGGUCGGAAAGCUAACCAGGUCUACAUCAUUGACUUCGGACUUGCCAAGAGAUACCGUGACUCAACCACGAAUCGCCAUAUACCCUAUAGAGAAAAUAAAAAUUUGACUGGCACAGCUCGCUAUGCAAGUUGCAACACUCAUCUUGGGAUUGAGCAAAGCCGAAGGGAUGAUCUGGAGUCCAUUGGAUAUGUUCUCUUGUAUUUUCUAAGGGGAAGUCUUCCUUGGCAGGGUUUAAAAGCUGCGACAAAGAAGCAGAAAUAUGACAAAAUAAGUGAGAAGAAACUUUCAACACCUAUCGAGGUUUUGUGUAAAACCCAUCCUGUGGAAUUUGCUUCUUAUUUCCACUAUUGCCAUUCAUUGACAUUUGAUCAACGGCCAGACUAUGGUUUUCUGCGACGGCUCUUUAGAGACCUGUCGGACCGUGAAGGGCACCAAUUCGAUCAUGUCUUUGACUGGACAUUGUUGAAGUGUAAGCAAACCCAGAAGGUGAAGGCUCAACAGCAAGAUCCUGGUGUAAGUAGCAGGCCGGUUGCAAAGAAUAUGGACAAACACCAAGCUGAAGCUUCUUGUCAGCUUGAAGCAGAACAACGCCCAGUAAUCAGAAUGCAAAUAAGAUCUACUGCUGAGAACAGCCGUUCAAAUAAUCGACAUUCUGAUAAAUUGAGAGUGAGUGCUAGCACUGAUAAGGAAUUGCUGCAAUCAACAUCAUUUGGCCAUGCUGGUGCCCCAAGGAAGAACGUAUCAAUCUCCAAAACACCAUGGCUUGUCGAUCCCAACUCAGGACCUUCAAACCACCUUUAGCACUCAGAUCAGUUAGUUCGUAUGUUCAUGCCGGUCUAUUUAGUAACCAUUGAGGGGAUACUGUGUGCCCCGCCAGACAACGAGCCCUCACUCCUGGACUGGUGGCAAUCGGCAUGACAAUCCGCCGCAACGCCCAUGCGCAAGGGCCUGGGUACCAUGACCCUUGUCCCCUGGAUGAUAUGGAAGCACUGCAACGACUGCGUCUUCAACGGAGCGCGCCCAUCGGUGAACGCCCUGCUAACGAAGAUCAAGGAAGAGGCCUCCCUUUGGGCAAGCGCAGGCGCACUAGAGCUUAGAGCCAUUACCCCCCGACAUGGGAUGUCCAUUAAUCGAAUAUCUGCCUCCUAG
RNAcentral lists this ribosomal RNA (1919 nucleotides) under Triticum aestivum (bread wheat). Its description in RNAcentral is "partial small subunit ribosomal RNA". Lineage: Eukaryota; Viridiplantae; Streptophyta; Magnoliopsida; Poales; Poaceae. The record is from RNAcentral.